GCCCGGCUGGCUCAGUUGGAAGAGCAUGUAACUCUUGAUCUCAGGGUCAUGAGUUCAAGCCCCAUGUUGGGUG
RNAcentral lists this transfer RNA (73 nucleotides) under Mustela putorius furo (domestic ferret). It matches the Rfam family "tRNA". Rfam says of the family: Transfer RNA (tRNA) molecules are approximately 80 nucleotides in length. The record is from Rfam by way of RNAcentral. Lineage: Eukaryota; Metazoa; Chordata; Mammalia; Carnivora; Mustelidae.